This is a long non-coding RNA of Gasterosteus aculeatus aculeatus (three-spined stickleback), 2981 nucleotides long. The record is from Ensembl. NCBI's taxonomy places the organism in Eukaryota, Metazoa, Chordata, Actinopteri, Perciformes, Gasterosteidae.
AUUGGUUCGCUUCAGGUUGUUCUGGUAUGAAAUAUUCAUGGUUCAUUUGCUGCGAUGGCGUGGAGGUUUUUGUACUCUCAUAUCGCCAUGGUCCGUCUGAGAGGACUAUUAUCGAUAUCACUGGAUUCAGGGUGAUCUCCUCAUGCGGUUUGAUAUGUUAUAUGUCUUCACUUAGCAUUGUAGGUCUGUUCCAGUUGUUCUCUACCGGACGCAGUUUCUGGACUAAUUUGCAGGAUAUUUAUUUUACCCUCACUGUAGUUGUUGAAGUUGUGUUUGGAGUUUUCUACAAUGGAUCACUGCAUAUUUUAGCCAAGACACUAACGCUUUGAACCAGGUGAAGCAUUCAUGUAUUUGUUCAUUAGUACCCAAAAUGUUGGCUUCGCCUCGGUCGGGGCCCCUUAUGGGGUCUGCUCGUCACAGCUAUUAGGUUUCACCUCCUCAGUUCAUCAUCAAUGAAUCUGUUAAUCUGGAGUCUGACCGGCCCUUGUUUGUUCCUUUAGGAACCAGUUUGACUAUAGAACCCUUAAUGCUUUGCUCGCUGCCACCGAGGAGGCCUCUUACGUUACACGUCAGCUGGAAGAUUGGACGACUCUGGAGCACUUUGAAGAAUUCGUUGUGGACGUUUUGCAGCCAGAAGCCACAUCUACGGCUCAGACGGUUCUCCUGGUUGUCACUGCCUUCACCAUCUGCUGGAUGCCCCACCACAUCAUCGCCAUGUGGGUGGAGUUCGGCACCUUUCCCCUGAAUGACGCCACUUUUGCCUUUCGUAUCAUUUCCCACUGCCUUUCUUAUGGAAACUCCUGCGUCAACCCCGUCCUCUACGCCUUCCUGUCCGAGAACUUCCGCAAGGCCUGUCGCCAGGUCUUCACCUGCAGCUUCCUGCACCCGCCCCCAUCCACGGGAACGCUGGUCCGUUUACGCAUGGAGAACUUCUCCACCACACACUCAACCACCCCGAUCUGAAGGGAGGACGUAAUCAGAUACAUAAUGGAAACAAGCAUAUAUCUUCUUACAGCAGGAUCUUUGUCACAUGACAACACAACGGCUUUGAUUGGCUGCCAAACGUUUCAUUAUUGACAGAAUUACUUAAUGAACAGAAAAGAAAACUGCAAACUUGGAUGAAUAAAAUAAUCGUCUUCUAGAUUUUAUAUAGAAACAAAACACAAGCCUGGUUUUCAGCAAUGUGACUGAACAUUUAAAGAAAUACAAUAACAAUUGUUGUUCUCUUUUUAGAAAUGAAAGAUGAAAGUUGCUAUAUCGUCAUUACCGUUCAGCUUGAUAAUAAUCUACGCCCGUGGAAACAGAGGGUUCAGCAUGUAUUUCACUCUUCAAAAAUAUUUGUAAUAUAUUUAAUUUAUUGUUUUUUUCAAAUGUUGGUUUGUGUGUUUGAGAGUAGGUGUUUUCCCCCCAAUGAAAGAGAAACUCUGCAGGUGAUAUUUUCCCCUCAACGCUCCCCGGUUGAGCCAUUCUGGUCACUCACACAGCUCCUGAACCCCAAUUAUCCCCCUGACAUCAAAUCAACAAAUUUAAACUAACAAUUCUAAACAUUCAUUUACAUUUCUAACUUAUGUCACGAGUCAGUAACAAUUUACUUUUAGGAGUGUUUUGGUACAUUCAAACAACAGAACUGUUUGAACAGAACAUUCAAACAACAGAACGGUUCUGUUGUACCUUAACAACAGAACCGUUACAUAAAUAGUGGUGAGAAUGUUAAUUUACAGGUUUUAUUAAUAGCCUGCUACACGUUUGAAUGUGGAUGCAGUGGGGGCUGCCACUAGGUGGCAUUGUUCACUUUCUUACCCAAACUGGGUGCGAGGAUCAUCGCCUCGUGAAGCCAUGAAGUGCCUGAGUAACGUUUUGCGGCUCCGUACGGGGAGCCCUAGGCGUUCCCUCUCCACACUACAUCUAGAGUCUGUUUGUUCCACGCCGGUGUGAAACCGUUGGACAGGACAUUUAUUAAAUGCUUGCAGCAUGGAGCAGAGUGGACGCCUGUACAAGACGUGCAUAAACGUGCAUAAAGACUACUCAAUAAUGUCGAGAGAAUAUGCCUUGAGAGGUCGCAUUGUCGUUCAUGAUUUGAAGAAGAUGGAGAAGUAAAACUUUUGUUUACCCUUUGGCAAUAAAACUUCACAACAUGACUUCCUUGGGAAAAUAUCCCGAUCCUGCUUCACAAAUCAUCUGUUUAUCUCAGGAACACCAUGUAUCGGAUCAGGAGGUCACGGACGCUUUGUCCACUUACAAUGAACCUUGUUCUAAUUUCCCCCAAAUAAUCCCUUAUGAUGUGCUCUUGGUCUACUCCUGGACCUCUUACCAGUUGGAGGGGUCUGUAUACCCUUUAAAUGGGAGGGGUAUUGAAGGAAGUCAGAUAUCUGGGAUCCUCACCCCCUCUUUAAGGCUGUGCUCCCUACAAAGGAAUGUCAGUUCAGAUAAUUGCAUCCUCAGCCUUUGUCUCACUAUCCAAGCUCAUGACCUUAGGUGAGGGUCUGAACCAAGACCGACUGGUAAAUCCACAGCUUCGUGUCUAUUCAACCUUUACUGGUGGACAAGAUCUGGAGACUCUUAAACUUGUUUGGGGCAGUGACUCAUUCCCAACCAGGAGGAACCACCGGUACCUUCAACUCGGACCUCAGGCUUGGAGGUACUGGUUCACCCGAAUGCAAACUGCUGGGCUGUACGCUGAAGGGUCUCUGAGUAAGUUGCAUAUUGAAAAACAAAAGGUUCAGGGUCUGCUCAUCGGCAGCGUAGGCGAUGCACAGAGCUGAGAGUUCCACAGCAGGGGGCGCCACAUGGUAGCACAAUGUCUUUUAGGGACACAGUGGUGGUCCUCUGCAGGGGUCUAGAUGUUGACGUGGAAGUAGCCUAGCAGCUACCUACAUGUCCUAAAGUGGUCCGUUUGCCACUUAUCUCAUAUGGUCGGAAUGAUACUUUAGUUACAUUUAUAUUGAUGAAUGUUAUUAUGAUUCAUUUGAUCUCAAUAAAAU